This 444-nucleotide ribosomal RNA is filed under the name uncultured bacterium. RNAcentral's name for it is "SSU rRNA". It matches the Rfam family "Bacterial small subunit ribosomal RNA", at positions 26 to 518 of the family's 1533-position model. The record is from RNAcentral.
AGAGCGAACGCUGGCGGCAGGCCUAAUACAUGCAAGUCGAACGGAUCCUUCGGGAUUAGUGGCGGACGGGUGAGUAACGCGUGGGAACGUGCCCUUUGGUUCGGAACAACUCAGGGAAACUUGAGCUAAUACCGAAUGUGCCCUUCGGGGGAAAGAUUUAUCGCCAUUGGAGCGGCCCGCGUCUGAUUAGCUAGUUGGUGGGGUAAAGGCCCACCAAGGCUACGAUCAGUAGCUGGUCUGAGAGGAUGAUCAGCCACACUGGGACUGAGACACGGCCCAGACUCCUACGGGAGGCAGCAGUAGGGAAUCUUGCGCAAUGGGCGAAAGCCUGACGCAGCCAUGCCGCGUGAAUGAUGAAGGUCUUAGGAUUGUAAAAUUCUUUCAGCGGGACGAUAAUGACGGUACCGCAGAAGAAGCCCCGGCUAACUUCGUGCCAGCAGCCGC